Molecule: long non-coding RNA, 389 nt
Organism: Gallus gallus (chicken)
Lineage: Eukaryota; Metazoa; Chordata; Aves; Galliformes; Phasianidae
Source: Ensembl
CGGCCCGACAUAAGCGCUCCCGACCCAGGCUGACCCACUAUCAGCGCUCCCGGUCCCCACGGUGUCCCGAUUCAACCCCCGCUCCCGGUCCCCCCGCCCCACCGGGGGGCUCCGUCCUGCCGCCCGCGGGCGCUCCGGGCCGGGGGAAGCGGCGGGGCUCAGUGCCCCCGGCAGCGGUCGGGCGCUGACUGCUGCCUUUAAUGGAGUGCCAAGGGUGUCCCCUCCUCCCAGCCCAGCCUGGACGAAACAGGGCUAUGCGUGCUGCCAACCGUGCCUAAAGGAGCUCAGGGGUAACCUGGCACGCACCGCUCUUUGGACAGCUUUCAGCUGCUGUUCUCGUGGGCUCUGCGGAUGUUUUGUAUUGCACUACCGAAGCGACACCUGAGGGG